UACGUAGGGGGCAAGCGUUGUCCGGAAUUAUUGGGCGUAAAGAGCUCGUAGGCGGUCCACUAAGUCGGAAGUGAAAGCUCAAGGCUCAACCUUGAAAUUGCUUUCGAUACUGGUGGACUUGAGGCAGGUAGGGGAGAGUGGAAUUCCUGGUGUAGCGGUGAAAUGCGCAGAUAUCAGGAGGAACACCAGUGGCGAAGGCGGCUCUCUGGGCCUGUUCUGACGCUGAGGAGCGAAAGCGUGGGGAGCAAACAGG
RNAcentral lists this unclassified non-coding RNA (253 nucleotides) under uncultured Euzebyales bacterium. RNAcentral describes it as "contains 16S-23S intergenic spacer region". It matches the Rfam family "Bacterial small subunit ribosomal RNA", at positions 524 to 776 of the family's 1533-position model. The record is from RNAcentral. Lineage: Bacteria; Bacillati; Actinomycetota; Nitriliruptoria; Euzebyales.